This 473-nucleotide ribosomal RNA is filed under the name Flavobacterium sp. DB4.2-2. RNAcentral describes it as "bacterial SSU rRNA". It matches the Rfam family "Bacterial small subunit ribosomal RNA", at positions 15 to 489 of the family's 1533-position model. Lineage: Bacteria; Pseudomonadati; Bacteroidota; Flavobacteriia; Flavobacteriales; Flavobacteriaceae. The record is from RNAcentral.
GAUCCUGGCUCAGGAUGAACGCUAGCGGCAGGCUUAACACAUGCAAGUCGAGGGGUAUAUAUCUUCGGAUAGAGAGACCGGCGCACGGGUGCGUAACGCGUAUGCAAUCUACCUUUUACAGAGGGAUAGCCCAGAGAAAUUUGGAUUAAUACCUCAUAGCAUAGCAGCUUCGCAUGAAGCCACUAUUAAAGUCACAACGGUAAAAGAUGAGCAUGCGUCCCAUUAGCUAGUUGGUAAGGUAACGGCUUACCAAGGCUACGAUGGGUAGGGGUCCUGAGAGGGAGAUCCCCCACACUGGUACUGAGACACGGACCAGACUCCUACGGGAGGCAGCAGUGAGGAAUAUUGGACAAUGGGCGCAAGCCUGAUCCAGCCAUGCCGCGUGCAGGAUGACGGUCCUAUGGAUUGUAAACUGCUUUUAUACGAGAAGAAACACUACUUCGUGAAGUAGCUUGACGGUAUCGUAAGAAUAA